UUGUUUAGUGUAACUUUAGUUAGACGCCGCUGUUAGCUGGUCAUAUCUGUUCGUUUUCAAAUAUCAGAAAUAUUCUUGAAAGCCCGAGAUUCCAAUUCAGCCCUUCAGGGUGAAUGGCUUAGUAUAAACUGAGACCCACAGUUGGACUCACAUAUUAAGAAUACCUGAGUCGAAAAUCUUUUCGGCGGAUAAGCAGAGGUCUCAAAAAUAAAGAUCAGAGUGGGUUAGUGAAAGAGGAGUAAAUGCAGAAAAACCCUAUACAACAUAAUAAAUACUGCCUGUCAUCAAAAGUGGUUAAAGUCACAAAAUACUCUGAGAGAAAGAUGAUAAACGAGGACUUGGAAACUGCGAGCGCGCAAUAAUGCUAUGAAAUUACUACUUCUGUUAA
Ceratitis capitata (Mediterranean fruit fly) is the source of this 388-nucleotide long non-coding RNA. RefSeq lists it as uncharacterized. Lineage: Eukaryota; Metazoa; Arthropoda; Insecta; Diptera; Tephritidae. The record is from RefSeq and is a predicted model, not a curated record. The transcript is spliced from 3 exons.